RNAcentral lists this ribosomal RNA (471 nucleotides) under uncultured bacterium. Its description in RNAcentral is "partial 16S ribosomal RNA". It matches the Rfam family "Bacterial small subunit ribosomal RNA", at positions 355 to 813 of the family's 1533-position model. The record is from RNAcentral.
UGGGGAAUUUUGGACAAUGGGCGAAAGCCUGAUCCAGCAAUGCCGCGUGUGUGAAGAAGGCCUUCGGGUUGUAAAGCACUUUUGUCCGGAAAGAAAUCCUUGGCUCUAAUACAGUCGGGGGAUGACGGUACCGGAAGAAUAAGCACCGGCUAACUACGUGCCAGCAGCCGCGGUAAUACGUAGGGUGCAAGCGUUAAUCGGAAUUACUGGGCGUAAAGCGUGCGCAGGCGGUUUGCUAAGACCGAUGUGAAAUCCCCGGGCUCAACCUGGGAACUGCAUUGGUGACUGGCAGGCUAGAGUAUGGCAGAGGGGGGUAGAAUUCCACGUGUAGCAGUGAAAAUGCGUAGAGAUGUGGAGGAAUACCGAUGGCGAAAGGCAGCCCCCUGGGCCAAUACUGACGCUCAUGCACGAAAAGCGUGGGGAGCAAAACAGGAUUAGAUACCCUGGUAGUCCACGCCCUAAAACGAUGUC